Molecule: long non-coding RNA, 931 nt
Filed under: Physcomitrium patens
Lineage: Eukaryota; Viridiplantae; Streptophyta; Bryopsida; Funariales; Funariaceae
Description: long non-coding RNA (PPAT_LNC014277)
Source: RNAcentral
AUUCCAGGUACCUAGUUAUGGAAGGUAGAAUAGAAAUUACAACAAAAAAUUCCUAAUUCUAAUAGAACACUAACAAUGCUAAAUAAACUUUAAUCAAAUUCAGAGAAACCUCAAAAGAAUUCCAAAGAAACAAUAAAAAAAUCUUAAAAAAAUAUUAGAAUGAUUACAAACAUAUCUCAAAUACAUUUCAAUUCAAUCUUAAUUUAAUCUUAGUUGAAAUCUUAUUGGACUUCAUUCAAAAUUUAGACCAAAAACUAGCUAAAUCUUAAAUCCUAACAAACUCAAAUAAAACUCUAAAUCCUAAAUCAAAUCCUGAUCAAAUCCUAACUAAACCUUAAUCCCUAAACCAAAUCCUAAUCAAAUCCUAGUUGUAAAUAAAACCCUAUCAAAUCCUAAAUCAAACCCUAACCAAACCCUAACCAAACCCUAACACUAAAUCAAAUCUUAACCAAAUCCUAACCCUAAAUCAAAUCCUAACCAAAUCCUAGUAAUUUCUACAACAAAAUUAAACCUCAAUUAUUAAUGAAUGAACCGUUGAUCUUAAGUCAAAUUUUGCAAAAUUCUUAGAAAUUAAGUUGAAAACAAGCACAAAAAUUUUGAAAGGGAUCGAAAUUACUAAAUAGAUAAUAACCUCAAAAAUGUUCUCGAGAAUUGGUCGGCUUCCUUCUUCAACCUUAAUGCCAAUCUCCUAGAGCCAAUAUCUCUUCUUUCUACCAUUCAAUUGAUCUCAAAAUUCUCAUACACAUAGAAAAACAAGUCUAAUAUCCUCUUAUAUAAAUUUCACUCUAAUUCAACUAGUAAAUUGCAAGAAAUCUUAAAAAUCCUCACUAGACCUAAAAUUCUACUUUCUGAGACCUUGACUAAUUUAAAUCUCAAUAACCCUCAAUUCAACCAUUAGAUCGAGCUAAGAAUCACAACACAUAUUAAGCAC